This is an RNA transcript of Homarus americanus (American lobster), 6285 nucleotides long. It is a transcript of the gene named multidrug resistance-associated protein 5-like, with no coding region annotated. Lineage: Eukaryota; Metazoa; Arthropoda; Malacostraca; Decapoda; Nephropidae. The record is from RefSeq and is a predicted model, not a curated record. The transcript has 34 exons.
AGCGUCCAUGGAUAAGCCACUAGUUACCGCCGCCGCUCCUCUAGUUAACGGAGGACCUCCCUAGAGCGAAGGAUACCCCUCGCCACUCAAUUAUACGAAAGAAAAAGGAACAAUAAUUCUAGUCAGAGUUAUAGACUUGAGGGAAAAAGACUAUAUAUCUGGAGUGGGCGUGUGGUGGGCUGUGUCUCCUCUGUGGGCGUGUGAGGGCUCUGUGGGCGUGUGGGGGCUAUGUAACGUCUGUGGGUGUGUGUCCCUCUUAUGAACUAGUGAUCCUUGGUCCGUUGUGGGUGUAUCCUGUGUCCUUCGUGGGCGUGUGUGUUUCCCUUGGCGUGGGCGUGAAUACCAGUUAUAGAGAAGAAACAGACGACGGAGGGGUAAAGGGCCUUCUCAGCUACGGGCGCCAUCAUGGAGUACAACAUUAUGGAUCUACUGGAGGGAAAGCCGUCUCAGCGGUACUCAAGCAUCAUCAUGCACAACUGGGGGUCGUGUGGCAGCAUCACCCUUAACCAUGGGCUGGACGCCGCCUCUCCCAGACUCCACCCCGCACCACAACCCAGCCCUCUAGUCGUGCCCAACAACACCUCCUCCUCCACCACCACUAAAAACAAGUCGAGGAAGAAGCCUGAGGAUGUCCUGUACCCGGAGGAGACAUAUCGCCUGCGGGAGGAAGACGCCCCGGACCUUGACCACAUCAGAGUUGAGCACAAGGAACCAAGAUGCUGCAACACAAAGUACAGCCAGGCCAUGAAGCACCUCCUCCCCUUCCGUCCCCCAUGCAAAGACAAAAGCCUAUUACCAAGUAACAAUGCUGGGCUGUUUAGUUACUUUAGUGUGAGUUGGUUAACGAGGCUUAUGUGGAGUGCUUAUAAGAAAGGCCUACAACCCGGCGACUUGUGGUCCCUUCAGCUUGAAGAUGGGGCAGAAAUUAAUUCAGAGCGUCUUGAGCGAUUAUGGGAGGAUGAGAUCGGGAUGGCAGAAAAGACCAAAAGAAAACCAGAGUUAUGGCGAACUGUGUGGAGGUUCAUGAAGACCCGAGUCAUUGUCAGCAUGGUCAUUUCCAUCAUACAGAAUGUUCUCCAGUUUCUAGGACCAUCGAUAAUGCUGAAGGUCGUGUUAGAUUACAUAAACGAGCCCAUGGUGGAUAAUAUGUAUGCCUCGUUAAUUGUCCUUGCUAUUGGUGUCAUCAACAUUUGUAGAGGCUCAACGUUCAAUGCCAUGUUUGUCGUAGGAACACACACAGCGACCAGAGUAACAGGCGCUGUACAAGCUAUGAUGUACAAGAAAGUUCUCAAAUUAAAAACAGGAGGUGAACGACUCUCAGCGCAGAUCAUCAACUUCAGCAACAAUGAUAUGGAGAGACUUUUUGAAGCCUGUAUCUCUUGUGCUUUCAUCACCGCCAUGCCUGUGAUGUUCACCAUGAGUGUCAUCUACUGUGUGUACAUCCUGGGUCCUUGGUCACUCUUAGGCCAGGGAUGCUACAUCCUCUUCUACCCAAUUAUGGGAGGCAUCGCCAAAGCACAGAGUAGCGUCCGAGUGGAGACAGUGAAAGUUACUGACAAGCGGGUAACCCUCAUGAGUGAAGUCCUCAAUAGUAUGCGACUCAUUAAGAUGUACUCCUGGGAAGAUUCCUUCGCCCAAAAAAUAGCAGCGAUCAGAAAGGAGGAGCUUAAGAAACAUCGUAUUGGGGCGCUGCUUCAGGCUGUCAGUUCUACAGUGAUCCCCAGCAUCAGUAUCCUAGCUGCCAUUGUCACCUUCUUGGGAUAUACUCUCUCGGGUAACACACUGAAGUCUGCCGAGGCUUUCACCAUAUUUUCAGUCUUCAAUGCCAUGCAGUUCACGGUCGGCGUUCUUCCAUUCACUGUGCGUUCAGUUGCAGAAGCUAAAAUAUCUCUGGAUAGGAUUCAGAAACUACUGGAGCUGCCGGAACAUCAGAAGCGUGCAGGAGGUUUACUCAACAAUAAUUUGGCGCUGCAGAUGAAAAAUGCUACUUUUUCUUGGGAAAUUUACAAUAUUGAUUUCAAAGGACAAGGAAAAUCUGGCGGAAGUCCAUCUAAAGAUAUGAAGGAAAAAAAGAAGCCCGAUGUGAAGAAGAAUGGUGCAGUCAAUGGAACAGGACUUCAUACUAAUGGCCUUGUCACCAGCGGCCAUGUUAAUGGUACUACAAACAGCCCAGCAAAGGAACGCAACACAGAUCUGGUAAAGAGUGUGGAAACCCUCUUCAACAUCAACCUCUCUGUUGAACGUGGCAAGCUUAUUGGUGUCUGUGGCAGCAUAGGUUCUGGGAAGAGUUCUCUUAUAUCUGCAAUCUGUGGUGAUAUGAAAACACAAGGUGGGAGUGUGCAAGUGAAUGGACAGCUGGCCUUGGUGACCCAGCAGGCCUGGAUCUACAACGACACUUUCCUUGAGAAUAUCCUGGUGGGCCAGAUGUUUGAUCCAGAGAAAUACAAGAAGACCCUCUAUGUUUGCUCUCUAGAAUCUGAUAUAGAACUCCUGGCUAAUGGAGAAAUGACCGAGAUUGGAGAGAGGGGCAUUAAUCUCAGCGGCGGCCAGAAACAGAGAGUUAAUUUGGGCCGUGCAGUUUACAGUGACCGGGACAUUUACUUGAUGGAUGAUCCACUCAGUGCUGUGGACACAAAAGUUGCAAAGCACAUCUUCAACUACUGCAUAAAAGAAGCACUUGCUGAUAAGACAAUUAUCUUUGUUACUCACGCUCCUCAUUUCUUAGAGAAGUGUGAUGAGAUUAUCCUUAUGCAAGAAGGAAAGAUUGCAGAACGUGGAACUCAUGCUGAACUCAUAGCUCGGAAGGGGGAAUACUUUGAUAUGAUUGGCUUUGACUCUACUCCUGAUAGAGACAAAGCUGAGGAGAAGUUGGAAGCGAAUGAAGAACAAGAAUCUGAUAAGAAAGCUGAUAAUGCCAAGAAAAAAAAAAAAGACAAUGACAACAAAGAGAACACAGUGGGAAAUGGCAAACUGAUCACAGAGGAGACCAGAGGAACGGGGACUGUCAGUAACAAAGUUUACCUGACUUUUAUCAAGGUCAGUGGAGGAUGGUGCAUAACAAAUAUAAUCAUCUUUGCCAUCAUUGUCUUUACUUUAACGAGAAUGUUCAAUGCAGUCUGGCUACAAUAUUGGCUUGAUCAGGGUGACGGCCUGGAAGAAGAACGAAGGAUGAACUUAACAGAAUACAACAUCACUUUAUCAGAUGAAGAGUUAAAGGGUGACAUAACACAAAAUCCAAUGUUGUGGAUGUACCAGUUAGUGUAUGCCCUCAGUUUUGUGCUGCUCCUCAUCACUGGUCUUAUCAAAGGCAUCGGAGUGACCUUCAGAGUCUUGGCUGGUGCUUCAAAACUGCAUCAUGCCAUGUUUACCAGCAUCCUCCGGUCACCGAUGAGUUUCUUUGACACAACCCCAACUGGACGGAUACUGAACAGAUUCUCCAGAGAUCUUGAUGAGCUUGAUGUGCGUGUGCCAUUCUUCCUGGAGUUCUUGUUGCAAGGUAUUCUCUUUGUGGUGGGGCAGAUUAUCCUGGUGUGCUUCAUCUACAUUUGGUUUGUCAUACCACUUCUGUUAGUUGCAGUUUUGUUCUUCAUAGUUGACGUUUUCCUAAACGCUGGUAUUCGUGAGAUGAAACGUUUGGAUAACACCUUGAAGUCACCCGUCACUCAGCACAUAGGUUCAUCUGUGUCUGGUCUUAAUGUCAUCCGGACCUUUGAUAAGGAGAAGUUAUUUAUCAAAAGGAUGUACAACUAUCUGGACAAGCACUCAGCCGCGCUGCUGAUAUUUCGCCUCUCAAAUCGUUGGUUCACUUACCGAAUGGAUUUUAUGGCCGUCUGUGUCACUCUUGCCGUCACCAUCAUCUGCGUCUUCACCAAAGGCCACGUCAGUACUGCUCUUGCAGGUCUCGCUUUGGCAACUGUUAACGGUGUGUGUGUGUUUGUUCCCUUCCUCAUGAGGAUGAAGUCCGAGUUUCAGUCUCGCAUCACUUCAGUUGAGCGGAUCAUAGAAUAUGCCUAUGAGCUGCCCAGUGAAGCCCCUCAGGAAAUCCCAUCAACUGAGCCAUCUCCUAGCUGGCCAGCCAAAGGUGUUAUUGAAGUUAAAGACGUAAAGCUUCGUUACAGACCAGAACUGCCUCUGGUGCUUCACGGUAUUAGUGCUUCGAUCAAGGACGGGGAGAAGAUUGGUAUUAUUGGACGAACUGGAGCAGGCAAGUCUUCCCUCAUCUCUACACUACUACGCAUGGCUGAGUUGGAUUCUGGUAGCAUCAUUAUUGACGGUGUUGACAUCAGCACCAUUGGUCUACAUACGUUACGAAGCAGAAUUUCCGUCAUCCCUCAGGACCCAGUUCUCUUCCAGGGUUCAGUCAGAUACAAUUUGGAUCCCUUUGAAGAACAGUCAGAUGAUGACGUCUGGCAAGCACUGGAGCGUUCACAUCUAAAAGGGGUUGUUCAGCGGCAGGAGCACGGCCUCAUGUCCAAGGUAGAAGCUGCAGGGGAAAAUUUCUCAGUGGGAGAACGACAACUCAUUUGUCUCACAAGAGCAUUGCUAAGGAAUAGUAAGAUUCUUAUAUUAGAUGAAGCAACAGCAUCUGUUGAUGUAGAAACAGAUCACUUAAUCCAAGCCACCAUUAAAGAGGCUUUUGCCACUAGUACAGUUCUCACCAUUGCUCACAGACUCAACACAGUGGCCAACUAUGAUAGAAUAAUGGUGCUUGAUGCAGGGAAGGUGCGGGAGUUUGACACACCAGAGAUGCUGAUGACUACUGAGGGGUCAGUGUUCCAGGAGAUGAUGCAGGCCAUGAAUGUAUACACAGUGGCACAGAUGAAUGCACUUACCUAGUACUUCUUUCCCCCAGUAAGUGCCUUUCUGUACCAGGGAGUACGAGGAACACUAUAGGACUGUACCAUGGAGCAUGAGGUACAUUAUAGGACUGUACCAUGGAGCAUGAGGUACACUAUAGGGCUGUACCAGGGAGCAUGAGGAACACUAUAGGACUGUACCAUGGAGCAUGAGGAACACUAUAGGACUGUACCAGGGAGUAUGAGGAACACUGUAGGACUGUACCAUGGAGCAUGAGGUACACUAUAGGACUGUACCAUGGAGCAUGAGGCACACUAUAGGGCUGUACCAGGGAACAUGAGGAACACUAUAGGACUGUACCAUGGAGCAUGAGGUACACUAUAGGACUGUACCAUGGAGCAUGAGGUACACUAUAGGACUGUACCAGGGAGUAUGAGGUACACUAUAGGACUGUACCAGGGAGUAUGAGGUACACUAUAGGACUGUACCAGGGAGUAUGAGGAACACUAUAGGACUGUACCAUGGAACAUGAGGUACACUAUAGGACUGUACCAUGGAGCAUGAGGCACACUACAGGGCUGUACCAGGGAGCAUGAGGUACACUAUAGGACUGUACCAGGGAGCAUGAGGUACACUAUAGGACUGCACCAGGGAACAUGAGGUACACUAUAGGACUGUACCAUGGAGCAUGAGGUACACUAUAGGACUGUACCAGGGAACAUGAGGUACACUAUAGGACUGUACCAUGGAGCAUGAGGUACACUAUAGGACUGGACCAAGGAGCAUGAGGUACACUAUUGGGCUGUACCAGGGAGCAUGAGGUACAUAAUCGGACUGUACCAUGGAGCAUGAGGUACACUAUAGGACUGUACCAGGGAGCAUGAGGUACACUAUAGGGCUGUACCAUGGAGCAUGAGGUACACUAUAGGGCUGCACCAUGAAGCUGGAGGUACAUAAUAGGACUGUACCAUGGAGCAUGAGGUACACUAUUACUUUUACUUUUAUCCUCUUCGCCACUGAUCGGCUUGGGCGAUCGGUCACGUCUCUUUUCCUUUAUAUUCUUCACCAAAAGGUCGGCUCGCUAGCCGCCCGGGCGAUCGGUCACGUCUCUGUCACGCACUGUUGGCAAAUACUGGGCAUGCACCGGCUCCUGAAUGUACCUGAACCCGCUCCAGUGUUGGUCAAGUCUUCUCAUGAAAGAGUUCACUAUAGGACUGUACCAAGGAGCAUGAUGUACACUAUAGGACUGUACCAUGGAGCAUGAGGUACACUUUAGGACUGUACCAGGGAGCAUGAGGUACACAAGUAUAGGUGACUCGACUGUCAGGCUACAAAUAUUGUGAACGUCUUUCUAUUGAGGUAUGAAUAUUUCCAAAUACAGUGAUAUCCCCGCUAGCUGGAACAAUUGGUGCAGAGCACUUCCGGGAAUGAGAGAUUUCCUGGUAACGAGACGACUCUCUCAAAGAUGGAAAAAUAUCCUUCAUCCCC